Molecule: long non-coding RNA, 213 nt
Filed under: Elaeis guineensis (African oil palm)
Lineage: Eukaryota; Viridiplantae; Streptophyta; Magnoliopsida; Arecales; Arecaceae
Description: long non-coding RNA (EGUI_LNC001907)
Source: RNAcentral
GGUGAAUGGUGGGUCGACGUUGAAUCUCAGGUCAUCAUCGGGCCACUUCGGGGCUUAUAGUGCGUCGAUCCAUUAUUGCAUCUCCUAGAGCCUCCUCUCCAGAUCAUCCUCCUGGGCUGGGCGGUGCUGAGGAGAAAGAUCCGGAGUCGAGUCUCUUCUCGAGAUCGGGGUAGGUGAUCGCCUAGGUCUGUGGCGGAGUGCACUAUCAGGGCG